RNAcentral lists this unclassified non-coding RNA (2640 nucleotides) under Hevea brasiliensis (rubber tree). The record is from RNAcentral. Lineage: Eukaryota; Viridiplantae; Streptophyta; Magnoliopsida; Malpighiales; Euphorbiaceae.
ACAAACGGCAAAACAUAGCAGGGAUUGAUAUAAAUCUUUAUUUCCAACAAACAAUCAGUUUUUUAUAGUCCAUACACGAAUUUAAGGCAAUACAAGACAUAAAAUACAGCCAAAUCUAUGAACAGGAAUCACCAAUAAGCUGAAACAGCUUCAAUACGCUUGAGAAACAAGGUGAGAACAGAAAACGACAAAUGCACAUGCCAAACAGAUCAAUAUGCUAAAUAGCAAUCCGUUGGAACAUAUACAAAACUAUAAAUAAACAUCAUAUUAGGUACAACUUACAAAUCUACGAAUCCUGAAAACUGAUGGUUCGGCGAACAUGAUUCAGCUGAAACAAACCAUCCCUGCCCACCCUACACCCACUUGCAUCAUGUGUUUGUUGACCAACUGGUUUCAUACCCAUCUCCCUCCCCAAGUCCGUCAACAAAAGAAAACAAAGAAACCGGGAUAUGUAUGCCUUGUAGGGAAUAUGUUCCAAUAAUUCCAAAAUGAUGGAUGUUAAAGGAACAGCUAGCUAGGUUUUCAUUUUCUUUUCUGCUUUUGAAUGCGAUAGAAACAACACCGGAUGAAAGGUUAAAAAAAGCAAGCAAAAUGGCAGACAGUAUUAGAUUUUGGUUCUUGCCAAGACAUAGCAUUUGCCAGUUUCCCGCCUUCGCAAAUUAUAUAUACAAAAAAUUGUUAAAUUAAUACACAUAAUACAAUUAUGUCAUAUUUUGGUUCAAAUCAGUGACCAACAGAAAAAAUAAAGGCCCUUUUUUUACCAGCAGGUGAGACAGCUAGAAAUGCAAACAAACAGUGUAAAUUUGGAUCCUACUACCACACAUUUGUGUUUUUCCCAUCUUCCCAUCAAUACUCCAGAUAUUUAUUUAUUAAAGCACUAGUACUGCUUUUAUUUAGUUCAAACAUAAUUCUAAUUAAAACAAUAUAAAAAAAAAUUGUUCGCAUCAAAUAAUUUGUUUCAGAUCAGCAGUAUCUGACAUUAUCAUAAAGAUGCCUUGUAAUCCACAUACAAUAAGUUCAAGCCAAUAAUGGCUGAACAUGAUAUGAUAGAACAUCUAAAAUGUCACAUUCAUCAGAUAGGGAACAUAUAAAAACAGGAAGUACGGGUAAAAUAAGAAAACUGACAUCACUCGUCAAUACGCUCAUCAAAAGAUACAGCAAUUUUUGAAGAACCUACAUACUAACUUAAUACUAGCAAGUAUCAACUAACAGCCACACAUAUAGGUGAAGCGGCAACAGAUGUACAGCAGUCCAUGUAACCAAAGAUUUCAGAGUCUGCAAUCAGGAAAUCACCACAACCAUUAAAAGCAUGUUGCAUCCAAGAAGCUCUCAAGACACCUCAGUAGUAUGGAGGCAUGCCCUGGUACAUCCCACCUGGUGGAACCCUUGACCCAGCUCCUGGUUGUGGUACCUGUGUCGGAUAAGCCGACUGUAAAGCAUAACUACCACCAUCUGGAAAACCUCCUGAACUAGGCAUUCCAGCAGAGCUUUGAGGCAUCCUGUACCCACCAUAAUCCCCAGAAUUACCCCCAUACCCACCAGCGCCAGCAUAUCCACCCGCGCCAGCAUAUCCACCAGCACCACCUGUAAAGGAUCCCGGUCCUUGGUUUCCAUAUCCAGGCCCGCCAAUAGCUGAAUUCAGAUGUGGAUUCUGAUGUGCCACCAUCCCAGGCUGAGGUGGUGGCUGCUGCAUUCCUGGACCAGGCCCACCUGAAAACCCUGAAUAUGGACCCAUACCGCUUACAGGAACACCAUAAUUGGAACCAGGCAUGGAUCCAACCCUAUCAUCACCAGGCAUUCCUACAAGUCCAGCAUUCAUUCCAGGGGCACCCCCGUGCCCCAUAUUCUGCGGCUUCCCCUUCUUAUUAUCGGUUGCCAAUUUACACAAGACCUGAUGUCCUUCUACGGUCUUCACGGGAUCAACUAACGAUGCCCUAGCUCCAUCCUCAGUCUUGUAGACAAAAAAAGCAAAUCCUUUCGCUUUUCCAGUUUGUUUAUCAAAUCCCAAAGGCCCCUCUUCAAUCUCUCCAUACAUGGAAAAGUGAUUCAAAAGCUUUUCAGACGAAAUUUCAAAUGGAACAUUACCAACAUAGAUCUUCCUAAGCGCAACAUCAGAAGACUGAGAAUUCCCAGAAUUACCCGCAGCAGCAAGCUGUGUGACGGUAACACGUCCAUCAAUUAUCUUGUUGGGCACCUUUAAAGAAAGAAUAGCAGCAUCAACAUGCUUGAAAGUUACAAAACCAUACCCUUUAGAUCUGGAAGACGCCUUAUCAGUUAUAACAACAGCCUCAUCAAGUUCUCCAAACUCAGAAAAAACCUGUCUGAGUUUGUCAGUGGUGGUCUCCCACCCAAGACCACGAACGAAAAGCUUGCGGUUAGAUACGUCGGCGUCAGCGACAGCACGUAAACCUUCGAGAACAUCAGGAUAGCGCAGGGCGGCGUUACGGAGAAUUGAAACGCACUGGUCCUUGGUGAACGUUUCAAGAAUUUUGUCAAUGUCUUCCGGGGAAAGAACAGCAAGUGCCGGUGGGGCGGCGGCAGUUGUGACGAGUUCGGUUUUUACAGGAUAAGCACCGCCGUUCUCAUCAGUUUUGCGCUUCUUUGAUAGAUCCAUUUUCACUCAGAGAAGAGAACUGUAAA